Molecule: ribosomal RNA, 253 nt
Filed under: uncultured bacterium
Lineage: Bacteria
Description: partial 16S ribosomal RNA
Rfam family: Bacterial small subunit ribosomal RNA
Source: RNAcentral
UACAGAGGUCCCAAGCGUUGUUCGGAUUCACUGGGCGUAAAGGGCGCGUAGGUGGCGGAGCAAGUCAACGGUGAAAGCUCGACGCUCAACGUCGAGUCGGCCGUCGAUACUGCUUUGCUCGAGCACUGUAGAGGCAGAUGGAAUUCCGGGUGUAGCGGUGGAAUGCGUAGAGAUCCGGAAGAACACCGGUGGCGAAGGCGGUCUGCUGGGCAGUAGCUGACACUGAGGCGCGGACAGCGUGGGGAGCAACAGG